Long non-coding RNA from Dreissena polymorpha, 220 nucleotides. RefSeq lists it as uncharacterized. The record is from RefSeq and is a predicted model, not a curated record. The transcript is spliced from 3 exons. Lineage: Eukaryota; Metazoa; Mollusca; Bivalvia; Myida; Dreissenidae.
UUUAGUGUUAUGUACAAACAGAUGGGUCAGACCAAAUGCGAUGAACAAACUGUUCAUCAUUUGGACAGAAAAGCCAAAAUGAAAUACUUCGCAGUCGGAAUUCUGGUGGUCUUUGUGGCCUUUGCUGUUGUCGCUUCUGCGGAAGAUGACAAACUUCCGGAUCAAGAACUUCUCGAGGCGGUUGAACGUGCGAUAGAAAAUGCGAACAACGACAAGAGGA